RNAcentral lists this long non-coding RNA (1231 nucleotides) under Homo sapiens (human). Its description in RNAcentral is "non-protein coding lnc-OR4F6-1:4". Lineage: Eukaryota; Metazoa; Chordata; Mammalia; Primates; Hominidae. The record is from RNAcentral.
CUCGCGUGGGAACGAGAAGACACUCAUGGAGGAGUCGGCCGAGCAGGCACAGCGGCGUGACGAGACUCGCGUGGGAAGAAGAAGACACUCCUGGAGGAGUCGGCAGAGCAGGCAGACCAAGGAGUUCAUCUUCUCGGAGCUGCUGUCCAACCUGUACUCGCGUCGGAACCUGCAGACACUUGUGGAGGAGUCGGCAGAGCAGGCACAGCGGUGCGACGAGAUGCUGCUUCUCAGAGCUGCUGUCCAACCUGCACUGGCGUGGGAACGAGAAGACACUCGUGGAGGCGUCGGCAGAGCAGGCAGACCAAGGAGUUCAUCUUCUCAGAGCUGCUGUCCAACCUGUACUCGCGUGGGAACGAGAAGACACUCGUGGAGGCGUCGGCAGAGCAGGCAGACCAAGGAGUUCAUCUUCUCAGAGCUGCUGUCCAACCUGCACUCGCGUGGGAACGAGAAGACACUCGUGGAGGCGUCGGCAGAGCAGGCAGACCAAGGAGUUCAUCUUCUCAGAGCUGCUGUCCAAACUGCACUUGCGUGGGAACGAGAAGACACUCAUGGAGGAGUCGGCAGAGCAGGCACAGCGGUGUGACGAGACUCGCGUGGGAAGAAGAAGACACUCCUGGAGGAGUCGGCAGAGCAGGCAGACGAAGGAGUUCAUCUUCUCGGAGCUGCUGUCCAACCUGUACUCGCGUCGGAACCUGCAGACACUUGUGGAGGGGUCGGCAGAGCAGGCACAGCGGUGCGACGAGAUGCUGCUUCUCAGAGCUGCUGUCCAACCUGCACUCGCGUGGGAACGAGAAGACACUCGUGGAGGAGUCGGCAGAGCAGGCACAGCGGCGUGACGAGACUCGCGUGGGAAGAAGAAGACACUCCUGGAGGAGUCGGCAGAGUAGGCAGAACAAGGAGUUCAUCUUCUCGGAGCUGCUGUCCAACCUGUACUCGCGUGGGAACGAGAAGACACUCCUGGAGGAGUCGGCAGAGCAGGCAGACCAAGGAGUUCAUCUUCUCAGAGCUGCUGUCCAACCUGCACUCGCGUAGGGACAAGAAGACACUCCUGGAGGAGUCGGCGGAGCAGGCAUAGCGGCGCGACGAGAUGCUGUGCAUGCACCACGUGCUGAAAGAGGCUCUCAGCAUCAUCGGCGACAUCAACAUGAACACCAUCAGCACAGCUACGGGGGCCCGUGGACGACUCCUAGUUGCAGCCAAGCCCAGCGAAAGAAUGGCAUACGGGAGU